RNAcentral lists this ribosomal RNA (262 nucleotides) under Cyclophora tenuis. RNAcentral describes it as "partial Bacterial large subunit ribosomal RNA". It matches the Rfam family "Bacterial large subunit ribosomal RNA", at positions 1289 to 1554 of the family's 2925-position model. The record is from RNAcentral. Lineage: Eukaryota; Bacillariophyta; Fragilariophyceae; Cyclophorales; Cyclophoraceae.
UGCGAAUGCUGACAUGAGUAACGUAAAAAUAAGUGAGAUUCUUAUUGGCCGAAAGUCCAAGGGUUCCUACGCAAUGUUAAUCAACGUAGGGUGAGUCGGUGCCUAAGGCGUAGCUGAAGAGUGAAGUCGAUGGGAAACAGGUUAAUAUUCCUGUACUUCUAUAUAUUGCGAUGGGGAGACGGAGAAAGCUAAACCAGCAUGGCGACGGUUGUCCAUGUUUAAGGUUGUAGGCUGAGAGCUUAGGCAAAUCCGGGCUCUUAAG